UCCAGACUCCUACGGGAGGCAGCAGUGGGGGAUAUUGCACAAUGGGGGAAACCCUGAUGCAGCGACGCCGCGUGAGUGAAGAAGUAUUUCGGUAUGUAAAGCUCUAUCAGCAGGGAAGAAAAAAGACGGUACCUGACUAAGAAGCCCCAGCUAACUACGUGCCAGCAGCCGCGGUAAUACGUAGGGGGCAAGCGUUAUCCGGAUUUACUGGGUGUAAAGGGAGCGUAGACGGCAAUACAAGUCGGAAGUGAAAUACCCGGGCUCAACCUGGGAACUGCUUUGGAAACUGUAUGGCUGGAGUGCUGGAGAGGUAAGCGGAAUUCCUAGUGUAGCGGUGAAAUGCGUAGAUAUUAGGAGGAACACCAGUGGCGAAGGCGGCUUACUGGACAGUAACUGACGUUGAGGCUCGAAAGCGUGGGGAGCAAACAGGAUUAGAUACCCGCGUAAU
Molecule: ribosomal RNA, 448 nt
Filed under: uncultured bacterium
Lineage: Bacteria
Description: bacterial SSU rRNA
Rfam family: Bacterial small subunit ribosomal RNA
Source: RNAcentral